Long non-coding RNA from Zootermopsis nevadensis, 274 nucleotides. RefSeq lists it as uncharacterized. NCBI's taxonomy places the organism in Eukaryota, Metazoa, Arthropoda, Insecta, Blattodea, Termopsidae. The record is from RefSeq and is a predicted model, not a curated record.
GUAGGCUGGACAUCUUUGUGAUUUUGAAGUUCGUGGAAGAAAAGGAUAGAACGAUCAGAGAUUCGAAAGAGAAGCAGAACAUGGCAGCACGAUGUGCCACUACGUCACCGUAGAUGAUCGUCUUCUCAACUGAGGACUUCGGGCAUCCAUCGCUUUGGUAUUGCGGAUUGUGAAUGCAAAGCAAAGCUGUUAACUAUACACCAUGUAGGCGCUUGGUGGGAUCUCAGAUUGUAAGAAAUCAAAAAGUACGACAAUACAUUUACUUCCAAUGACA